Long non-coding RNA from Melanotaenia boesemani (Boeseman's rainbowfish), 539 nucleotides. RefSeq lists it as uncharacterized. The transcript is spliced from 4 exons. The record is from RefSeq and is a predicted model, not a curated record. NCBI's taxonomy places the organism in Eukaryota, Metazoa, Chordata, Actinopteri, Atheriniformes, Melanotaeniidae.
GGAGAGGAUGACUGAGAUUUCUACUCAGCUGUAAAACACAUGGAUCAGACUUAGGUUUGAAAAGAGGCAGAGAAGGGAACCUGUUCAUGUUGACACUCUGACCUCUGGUAGAACCAAACACUUCGGCUGGAAAGGGUUUCAGCAGACCAGAUCCUGUGAAUCCUUGGACCCUUCUUCUACUUACACCAGCGGAAACCCGCAACCUGUUGGAUCAAUGAUGGCACAGGUGUGAAAUGAAGAUGAGUAAAAGGAGCAAGGAGGCAAGGAGUUUCGGUGAGCUGGAGAACAUGGAUGCAAGGAGGUGAUAAACAGCUAAUAAACAGUGUUCCUGCUACAGCUGAACAAUUCCUAAUGCACAACAUCACUGCUCUAUGUUUAGAUGCUGAUGAUGACGAUGAUGAUGAUGAUGAUGAUAUGACUUGCCAUGUAUAAAGAAAUAUUUCAAUAUAUGGUGCUAAUCUGAAGAGUUGCAUUCCUCAUCUGCACCUGUGCAUGCUGGUGAGCAGUAGAACAUGCAGAAUGCAACACCUUCUCCAGCU